AUGGCCAACAACUUCACUUCUUCAGUUCAGAAGCCCAUUACUGAGACCUCCUCAAGAUGCCUGACAGAAUCCGUCACCAACGCCCACAACUUUGAGGUGACUAGCUACUCGCUGCUCCAGGGUAUGGGUGCCGGCAAGUUCAUUAGCUCAAACACAUUCAACGUCGACGGCUAUGGCUGGAACAUCGGAAUAUAUCCUGAUGGAUGGAAGGAGGAUACAGGUGCCUACAUGUCGGCCUUCUUGUGUUUCUGCAGUGGGACAACAGAUGCAAAGGUGAAGUUCACAUUUAGUUUAUUGGAGAAAGAUAGAGAAGUUAAUAAGCUAGAGAGCACGACAUAUACCUUUAACUAUUUUGAAACGGAGGGAGUAGGUGGUUAUUGGGGCUGGGAGAAGUUUAUUAUGAACUCCAAGCUUAAGGAACUGUUAUCCCGCAAUGAUGACUGCUUCACAAUCAGAUGUGUUUUGACCAUCUUGAAAGAGCCUCGUAUAGAAGAUAGCACAGUCAUAGUCCCAGUUCCACAGUCGGAUCUGCACAUGCACUUCGCAAACAUGUUGAAGGAUGGAGAAGGCAUGGAUGUGACGUUCAGUGUCCGUGAUCAACUCUUCAAUGCACACAGAUGCGUGUUAGCUGCGCGGUCGUCUGUCUUCAAGGCUGAGCUCUUUGGUCAGAUGAAAGAGACCACCAUGAAACACGUCAAGAUUGAUGACGAGCCUUCCAUCUUUGAGGCACUUCUUCACUUCAUAUACACGGAUACUCUGCCAAGCAACUGUGAGGUUGAUCAGAAUGUGGCAUUGCAGCACUUGUUGGUUGCCGCAGAUCGGUAUGGACUGGAGAGGCUCAAGGCUAUUUGUGAAGGGAAACUAUGCCAGAGAAUCGAUGUGCAAACAGUUGCAACCACCCUCACUACCGGAACAGGGCCAUACCCCGACCAACUCAAGAAUGCCUGUCUCAGAUACCUUUCUUCACAGGGCGUGCUUCAAGCUGUCAAGGAGACUGAUGGAUUCAAGAACCUGACAACAAGCUGUCCAUCAAUUAUGGUGGACAUUUUAGACAUAGUCGCCCCACCUUCAGUAGUAUGA
RNAcentral lists this ribosomal RNA (1080 nucleotides) under Triticum aestivum (bread wheat). Its description in RNAcentral is "partial small subunit ribosomal RNA". Lineage: Eukaryota; Viridiplantae; Streptophyta; Magnoliopsida; Poales; Poaceae. The record is from RNAcentral.